GUGCCAAGCAGCCGCGGUAAUUCCAGCUCCAAUAGCGUAUAUUAAAGUUGUUGCGGUUAAAAAGCUCGUAGUUGGAUCUUGGCGGGCAGGGGGUGGUUCGCUCUUCAGCGCUACUGCCCCGCUUUGCCCGUGUGAUUGGCGGAGGUUUCGGGGUGCUCUUCGUUGAGUGACUCGGAGCGCCGUCAGGUUUACUUUGAAAAAAUUAGAGUGCUCAAAGCAGGCUUUUCACGCUUGAAUAUUCGUGCAUGGAAUAAUGGAAUAGGAACUCGUUUCUAUUUUGUUGGUUUUCGGAAAUCGAGUUAAUGAUUAACAGGGACAAUUGGGGGCAUUAGUAUUCAGACGACAGAGGUGAAAUUCUUGGACCGUCUGAAGACUGACUACUGCGAAAGCAUUUGCCAAGAGUGUUUUCAUUAAUCAAGAACGAAAGUUAGAGGUUCGAAGGCGAUCAGAUACCGCCCUAGUUCUAACCAUAAACGAUGCCAGCUAGCGAUCUGCCGAGUUUUUUUUGUAGGCUCCGCAGGAAGCUUUCGGGAAACCAAAGCUUUUGGGUUCCGGGGGAAGUAUGGUUGCAAAGCUGAAACUUAAAGGAAUUGACGGAAGGGCACCACCAGGAGUGGAGCCUGCGGCUUAAUUUGACUCAACACGGGAAAUCUCACCAGGCCCGGACACUGGAAGGAUUGACAGAUUGAGAGCUCUUUCUCGAUUCGGUGGGUGGUGGUGCAUGGCCGUUCUUAGUUGGUGGAGUGAUUUGUCUGGUUAAUUCCGAUAACGAACGAGACUCUGUCCUGCUAAAUAGUUGGGUCGUCCUUCGUGCGAUCCAAGUUCUUCUUAGAGGGACUGGCUGCGUCUAGCAGCACGAGAUUGAGCAAUAACAGGUCUGUG
This 882-nucleotide ribosomal RNA is filed under the name uncultured eukaryote. RNAcentral describes it as "SSU rRNA". It matches the Rfam family "Eukaryotic small subunit ribosomal RNA", at positions 564 to 1466 of the family's 1831-position model. The record is from RNAcentral.